RNAcentral lists this small RNA (620 nucleotides) under Histoplasma capsulatum. RNAcentral describes it as "hypothetical RNA". Lineage: Eukaryota; Fungi; Ascomycota; Eurotiomycetes; Onygenales; Ajellomycetaceae. The record is from RNAcentral.
UGCCACGUGACCACACAUAUUUAAGAAGCAGUGCUGCGCGGGCUAGACGGGCGACUUGUUCGAAAUGCCUAGGAACCUGGUUUAGAGGUAAGUAUGUAACUAGGUGUGGCCAGUCGACCGGGGGGUUGCUGAUUGCUUCCGUUUCCCUCGAUGGUGUUGGUAAAUCCAGCAGCUUCUUCUUCUUCUUCUUCUUCUUCUUCUUCUUUUUUUUUUUUCCUUGGGUAAUUGGGCGAAUUGGGAAAUAUACGAGUCUGCAGUGUGUUGGAGAUAGGAGGAAUAUGUAUGGAAAAUGAGGUCCCAACAUAGUUUUUCAUUCAACCCUUUUCAGUUAUAUCCAUCAGAAUCCGAGAUAUCAAAAAUAGAGGGGUAUAGAGUCGUAAGGGAUAUAUAGCCAAAAAAAAAUACACUCUCAAGAGGAAAGCACAGAUAUACCAAAAACAAAUAAAUAAAUAAACAAAUAAAAGUAAAAAUGGACCAUCACCCGCUAAUACCCAUCCGCCUUUAUCUUAUCCCUCUCUUUUUCUCCUCCUCCGACCUCUCAUUAUUAACCUUCCACCACCAACGAUGCGUCUCAUCUCCCUGCCCCUCCUCCCCGCCCUUCUCAUCCCACGGCUUCGGAC